Molecule: transfer RNA, 91 nt
Filed under: Thermoanaerobaculia bacterium
Lineage: Bacteria; Pseudomonadati; Acidobacteriota; Thermoanaerobaculia
Description: tRNA-Ser
Rfam family: tRNA
About the family: Transfer RNA (tRNA) molecules are approximately 80 nucleotides in length. Their secondary structure includes four short double-helical elements and three loops (D, anti-codon, and T loops).
Source: RNAcentral
GGAGAGGUGUCCGAGUGGCCGAAGGAGCACGCCUGGAAAGCGUGUGUAGGGUAACCCUCUACCGUGGGUUCGAAUCCCACCCUCUCCGCCA